CAAGUUCACGAGUGGACUAAAAGGCACUGAUAACAAAACCAUCUUUGUUGUGAUGUUUGCAGGCGAAAUGGGUCGUCAUUUGCCCCAGGGCCUUGUGAAGCUCUGGAGUCGCUUCAAGCGUUGGAGAAACCGGAGGAUCCAGCCGGAGCAGCCGGUGGGCGAAGGUGGUCCAGAUGGGCCUAACGGCGUCCACGUCCAUCCUUCACCCACUCCUCAGGUGGGUGACUCAUACACACCCCAUCCACCUUCUCCUCCACGCUCACUUGUUUUUUGGUCUGCUGGUCCUUCUGUUUCCCCUUCACCCCCUCCUGUUCCUUGUUGCUUUGAUGUUCUUGCUUUUUCUCCUUCACCCUGUCCUACUCCUUCUUUUUCUUCUUCUUCUUUCUCACUCUCUUCUGCUUCCUCUGGUACUUGGUGCUCUGACAUCUUUCCCUUUUCUCCUUACCCUUCUCCUACUCCUUCUUCUUCUUUUUCCUCACUCUCUUCUGCUCACUCUGCUUCUCUGUGCUCUCCUCCUCACUCUCUCACCUCUCCUUUUUCUUCUUCCUCGCCCUCCUCUGCUUACUCUGGUACUUGUUGCUCUGCUGUCCUUCCCUUUUCUCCUUCACCCUCUGCUGUUCCUAGUUGUUCUGCUGUCUUUCCUUUUUGUCCUUCACCCUCUCCUACUUCUUCUUCUUCUUCCUCACCCUCUUCUGCUUACUCUUGUCUUUGUUGCUCUGAUGCCCUUCCUUUGUCCCCUUUACCCUCUCCUGUGACGGAGAGAGUGAAGGAGCUCAUCCAGCAGCUCAUCUUCCAGGAGAGGUAAGGAAGACAGUGAUGAGGAGGGGGCUGCUCUUGGAAGACUCAACUGUGGGACACUGUUUCCUACAGUGAAACCAGUCUUGGAUUUGACCCCAGGGCACCUUUUUUGUAGUUUUAUUUCUAUACCAUAAGUUUAAAUGUUCAUUCCAACUUUGAGAACUAGCCUUUGCGUCUGGCUGGGCAGUUUUCAGGUCCCCGGCAGCGUCUGGCGCUGGGACCUUUUUUUCUUUCCUGGAUGAACACAAGUUUAAAUGUUAAUUUUUACCCUGAGAACUAGCCUUUGCGUCUGGCUGGGCGGUUCUCAGGUCCCAGGUAGCGUCUGGCACCUGGGCCAGUUUUUGCUGUUUUUUAUAUUUUAGCAUGGCGGUUGGAUGGACUUUUCUUUCACCCUGAAGGCUGAGUUCAGCGCCUGGCAGGGCCGUCGAUCCCCCCAUGCAAGUUGCCCUAGCGUCUGGCGGGGUAGCUAUUAUGUUUCCUCCACAGCGAUAGAAGGUCAGCUCAGUCACAGUGGCACUGGGGACACAUGUCGUCUCCCACUGAAGCUCCUCGGUGGCAGAUGACUGCAGUGUCAGGUGUUAUGGAGGAGACACAUGGCUGUCUGCAGUCCACAUCCUGCUCCACACUACAGGGAGCAGUGACUGACGGCUACUGACCAUUACGUCUGUCUUUCCAGUGGACAAAGGUUUAUUAGGAGAAGGAGACGAGGGAACCAGGAGAUGAGCAACGAGACAACCAAUCUGGACCAAGAGCCGGCAUUCCAAGCAGCCCAGGCCUAAGCUGUCAAACCGAUCGCAGGAACCACAGCUGCACAAUUACGUUCAGUGCAGCUGUGGAGGCUGGAGAACUGUGACAACAGAGACCAUAGGACCACCUGGAGAGAAGUUGUCACCUGUGUCUAUGGAGGCUCAAUGCAAUAACAUCCUGCAGCUCUUCGCUCUCUCCAGCCUCUGGUCCAGACAGAGGGGAGCCUCCCAGUCCUAAUCACAUAGAGGAAGUGUCUUUAUCACUGCUUUCUCUGUGCUGCUGGGUUUGGGAGACUCUUCACAUAACCAGUGGUGUUGGCCUCCAUCUGUAAACAGAAGACGGUCAAGACAAGUGGUUGUCAUAAAUACUGUGUGUGUAUAUAUAUAUAUAUAUAUAUUUAUAUGUAUAUAAUGUCAUCAAGAAAAUAAAAGAACUGCUUUGUCUGAA
This is a long non-coding RNA of Betta splendens (Siamese fighting fish), 1992 nucleotides long. RefSeq lists it as uncharacterized. NCBI's taxonomy places the organism in Eukaryota, Metazoa, Chordata, Actinopteri, Anabantiformes, Osphronemidae. The record is from RefSeq and is a predicted model, not a curated record. The transcript is spliced from 6 exons.